UACAGAGGUGGCAAGCGUUGUUCGGAAUUACUGGGCGUAAAGGGCGCGUAGGUGGCCUUCUUAGUCAGACGUGAAAUCCCCAGGCUUAACCUGGGAACUGCGUCUGAUACUGGAAGGCUCGAGUUCGGGAGAGGAAUGUGGAAUUCCAGGUGUAGCGGUGAAAUGCGUAGAUAUCGUCAAGAACACCUAUAGCGAAGGCAGCUUACUAGGCUGUAACUGACGCUGAGGCACGAAAGUGUGGGGAUCAAACAGG
This 253-nucleotide ribosomal RNA is filed under the name uncultured bacterium. RNAcentral's name for it is "partial 16S ribosomal RNA". It matches the Rfam family "Bacterial small subunit ribosomal RNA", at positions 524 to 776 of the family's 1533-position model. The record is from RNAcentral.